This 409-nucleotide ribosomal RNA is filed under the name uncultured microorganism. RNAcentral's name for it is "bacterial SSU rRNA". It matches the Rfam family "Bacterial small subunit ribosomal RNA", at positions 9 to 420 of the family's 1533-position model. The record is from RNAcentral.
GAGUUUGAUCAUGGCUCAGAUUGAACGCUAGCGGGAUGCCUUACACAUGCAAGUCGAACGGCAGCACGGACUUCGGUCUGGUGGCGAGUGGCGAACGGGUGAGUAAUGUAUCGGAACGUGCCUAGUAGCGGGGGGAUAACUACGCGAAAGCGUAGCUAAUACCGCAUACGCCCUACGGGGAAAGCAGGGGAUCGCAAGACCUUGCACUAUUAGAGCGGCCGAUAUCGGAUUAGCUAGUUGGUGGGGUAACGGCUCACCAAGGCGACGAUCCGUAGCUGGUUUGAGAGGACGACCAGCCACACUGGGACUGAGACACGGCCCAGACUCCUACGGGAGGCAGCAGUGGGGAAUUUUGGACAAUGGGGGAAACCCUGAUCCAGCCAUCCCGCGUGUGCGAUGAAGGCCUCGG